Molecule: non-coding RNA, 85 nt
Organism: Ceratotherium simum simum (southern white rhinoceros)
Lineage: Eukaryota; Metazoa; Chordata; Mammalia; Perissodactyla; Rhinocerotidae
Source: RefSeq, a predicted model, not a curated record
UCUGGCCUGCUGCAUGUUUUUAUAAGUAAACUGUUAUUGGAAUACAGCCAUGCCCAUUCUUUUAUGUGUUGUCUACAGCUGCUUU